Molecule: long non-coding RNA, 414 nt
Filed under: Gossypium raimondii (Peruvian cotton)
Lineage: Eukaryota; Viridiplantae; Streptophyta; Magnoliopsida; Malvales; Malvaceae
Description: long non-coding RNA (GRAI_LNC001439)
Source: RNAcentral
GUUUCGAUAAUGGAGGAGGAAAAUAGAAAAAAGAAUAAGAAAAGUGGAGUGAGGGAGAAGAAAACGAGUGGUAGCAAUGGUAGUGCAAGGUGGCGAUAAUGGUUAUGUAUGGUGGAGCAAGGGACGGUGGUGAACAAAAUAGCUGAAAGGGGUGGUAGCAAGGUGGAGUUGAGGAUGUGCAAUGGUGGUAAGGGAGGAAGAAAGAGGCAGUACAACUCAAAUUGGUGGCUAGAGGGCGGCACAAGGUGGUUGGAAAAAAAAGACUAAGGAGAGAAAGGGGAGAGUUUUCCUAAAAGAAAAACAAUGACAAUUGAGAGGCUUCCUAGCUAGGUUGGAUGACUAACCUAGGUAAGCUCACAUGUUCAUGGAAACAAAUGGAGUACACGAAGAAAAAAGUGGAUUAAGGGAUUAAGG